This 81-nucleotide microRNA precursor is filed under the name Sarcophilus harrisii (Tasmanian devil). RNAcentral describes it as "mir-187 microRNA precursor family". It matches the Rfam family "mir-187 microRNA precursor family". Lineage: Eukaryota; Metazoa; Chordata; Mammalia; Dasyuromorphia; Dasyuridae. The record is from Rfam by way of RNAcentral.
AUUGUGAGACCUCUGGCUACAACACAGGACACGGGAGCUUCUCUGACCCCUCGUGUCUUGUGUUGCAGCCAGAGGAGCACA